This 1166-nucleotide long non-coding RNA is filed under the name Sitophilus oryzae (rice weevil). RNAcentral describes it as "uncharacterized LOC115875547, transcript variant X2". Lineage: Eukaryota; Metazoa; Arthropoda; Insecta; Coleoptera; Curculionidae. The record is from RNAcentral.
AACCAAACAUUACCCAAAAAAAGUUUUGUUUUUAUUUUUUAGAAUAUAAAAUAAUUAUUGUUUAUCAAUAUUUUGUGCUUUAUUUAUUAUUUAACAAUGGUUAAAGUGUGUGUGGUGCGAAGUUGAUUGAAUAGCUGUUGGAAAAAUAAAGAACAAAGGCAAAGCCUGUAAAAUACAUAAUUAUAAUUCAGUAUUGUAUUAUUUGUAUUAUAUGUAAAAAUUAGAGUCAAUCAAAAGUGUAGUAAACAUUUUUCGUAAGAUUAUUGACAUACAUGUUACAAAGUAUAUUUUUACAAUCCUUUCUAUAAAGUUACAACCUGAAUAAAAUUUAUUUUUAAUGAUUUUAAAGUUUGACAGACAUGCACAAAUUGUUGGCAUUUUUUUAAACAAAUAAAAGUAGGAAAUAAAUAAAGUUGUAGGUACUUUCAAGAAAUAUAGUUAACUGUAAGUGCUGUAUUUUAAUAAUCUAUCAAAAAUUAAAAUCAUCAGGAUAAUAUUAGGUAUUGAUUUUCAAACAAGAAUUAGAUUACAGCGAUGGUCAAAAGCAUUUAGAUAUUGCUUUGAAAUCUACAGAUAAGGUAUGGCAGUUUCGUUUUAAAGAACAAGAUGUUAAAGUUUAUGAUAAAAUUGUCAUCAGAAAUACUGUCCACUUGCAGUAUUUACAUAGGAAAAUGUUGGAGGAUGAAGCUCUACCUACUGCCUCAGGUUAAUUUAAAUUCUGAGUUGCAACAACAGCAACAAGCAAGAAGGGCACCAUUAAAUGAAUAUUAUACACAUAAAGCAACAACAGAAUAAAAAACCAAAAUAUGAACACCAGCAACUAAAACAGGAACCAUUAAAUGAAUAUUACACACAGCAAUAACAGCAUCAAAUAAUGGAAAUAAUGGACCCUACUGCUCAAAUCAAAAACAAAAUUUCAGCAUUACCACUUUAUUGGUUAUAUCAAUAAAAGAAAUUAUUGAGUUUAUGAGUCUAGAUCCUACAAGCAAGCAGAUCUAUCACAUAAUUUUAAAUGAAGAUUUAUCUAUUAUAGUAAUUUAUUCUAAUAACAAAAAAAAACUUUGGAUCAAAAAAUAUUUUCUUCUGAUGAGGUUUAUGAAUAUUAAAGUCUGUUGAAGUUUGGCCAUUAUGUGUUGGUAUACAAUUUAUUUAUGAUGUUACAGUAG